RNAcentral lists this ribosomal RNA (599 nucleotides) under Alexandrium tamarense. RNAcentral's name for it is "eukaryotic LSU rRNA". The stretch from base 181 to 335 matches the Rfam family "5.8S ribosomal RNA". The record is from RNAcentral. Lineage: Eukaryota; Dinophyceae; Gonyaulacales; Pyrocystaceae.
UGAAGGAUCAUGUGCACACGUGUGUACACUAACCUGCUAAUGAUAUUGUGGGCGGUGUAAGCUUGCAUUACAAUAAUAUUACAUGUGCCCUGGGCUGUGUGACUUGUUUUGCAAACAUUCGUUAUGCAUUGCAUAAACAAGUUUGGUAAACUGAGUGGUGCUGUGUUUGUGUACGAUGAUUAGGUUUUGCAACGAAUGUUUUAGUUCAAUACAUGAUGAAUAAUGCAGGACAAUGCAGUAUGCAUUGUGAAUUGCAGAAUUCCGUGAGCUAACAGAUGUUUGAAUGUUACUUGUGCCUUUGGGAUAUUCUUGAAGGUUUGCUUGAUUCAAUGCCAAUUACCUUCCAUAUGCAAUACUGCUGUUUAGCAUUGCUGUGAACAAAGAGAGUCAAUGUGUAUUGCAUUGAACCUGGAUGUGUUGCAGCUGCUUUGCAACCUAAACAUGGUUGAUUGGGGGCAAACUUGUUUCGUCAUGUGCUGGUUGCUGUUUUGUAAAAUGUGAACAACUGAGACAAGCUGAAGACUUGCAUAUGCUUAGCAUGAAGUGAAGCACAUACACCUGCUGAAUUUAAGCAUAUAAGUAAGUGGUGGAAAUUAAAC